CUUUGGUGUAUUUUGCCAUCUCUACAUUUAAUUCUAGCCACUAAAAUCUUUUCCAGUCUGAAGUGACUUGGGGUUACCAUUCUAGGGCAGCUAGAAUUGUUUAACGACCAAAGAUUUCACCCUCUCACAAAACCCAGAGCCAUCUACACUCAGAAUGAGUCUUCCUGCCCAACUAUCUCCUGUUGGUUGGGUUUUACUGGACUUAGCCCUCUUGAGGGCAGGAGUGUCUUCCAUGCUGCUAGGAAGAACCCUGAUGCCAUCACAUUGGGCACCACGGAAUGCCAUUACCUCCUCAUCUACCUUCAUGGUCUGCGGGGUCAUAGUGUAUCCACGUGGACUCGGCAGAUCUCUUGCGCUUGAUGCUGGUCCCACCACAACACUCAUGGCCACAAGGAAACCACAGGUGCUCUUCAUGGAGCAUGGGGUUGGGGGGUGGUUUAGUCAACGAGAAAGACCUGGGUAGCUGACAACUUAACUUUCAACAAGGACAAACACAAGGACUAAAACAGAAAUGAAAAACAAAUUUCAACACAGAUGAAAAUGCUAGACCAGGUGGGACCCAGAGGGAAGACAGGAGAGAAAAAGAACCUUCUCCAACCACUGUGAAGUGUGAGCCACUGCGCCCGGCCCUCAAUGAUUUCCUUAAUGAUGUCUGGGAACUCAGCUGCUG
Molecule: long non-coding RNA, 670 nt
Filed under: Homo sapiens (human)
Lineage: Eukaryota; Metazoa; Chordata; Mammalia; Primates; Hominidae
Description: HSALNT0117186
Source: RNAcentral